This 119-nucleotide ribosomal RNA is filed under the name Gossypium arboreum. The record is from RNAcentral. Lineage: Eukaryota; Viridiplantae; Streptophyta; Magnoliopsida; Malvales; Malvaceae.
GUGUGCGAUCAUACCAACAAUAAUGCAUUGGAUCCCAUCAGAACUCUGCAAUUAAUAGUGCUCGAGCGAGAGUAGUGCUAGGAUGGGUGACCUCCUGGGAAGUCCUCAUGUUGCACCCG